GGCUCAGGAUGAACGCUAGCUACAGGCUUAACACAUGCAAGUCGAGGGGCAGCAUGGUCGAAGCUUGCUUCGACUGAUGGCGACCGGCGCACGGGUGCGUAACGCGUAUCGAACCUGCCCUAUACACGGGGAUAGCCUUGCGAAAGUAAGAUUAAUACCCGAUGCCAAGUUGAGAUCGCAUGAUUUGAUUUGAAAGAAAUUCGGUAUAGGAUGGCGAUGCGUCUGAUUAGGUAGAUGGCGGGGUAACGGCCCACCAUGCCGACGAUCAGUAGGGGUUCUGAGAGGAAGGUCCCCCACAUUGGAACUGAGACACGGUCCAAACUCCUACGGGAGGCAGCAGUGAGGAAUAUUGGUCAAUGGUCGCGAGACUGAACCAGCCAAGUAGCGUGCAGGAUGACGGCCCUCUGGGUUGUAAACUGCUUUUAGUUGGGAAUAAAAGGCGGUACGUGUACCGCGUAUUGUAUGUACCAUCAGAAAAAGGACCGGCUAAUUCCGUG
This 497-nucleotide ribosomal RNA is filed under the name uncultured bacterium. Its description in RNAcentral is "bacterial SSU rRNA". It matches the Rfam family "Bacterial small subunit ribosomal RNA", at positions 21 to 507 of the family's 1533-position model. The record is from RNAcentral.